This 103-nucleotide small nuclear RNA is filed under the name Ursus thibetanus thibetanus. The record is from RNAcentral. Lineage: Eukaryota; Metazoa; Chordata; Mammalia; Carnivora; Ursidae.
UUGCUUGGGCAGCACAUAGACUAAAAUUGGAAUAAUACAGAGAAGAUUAGCAUGGCCCCUGUGCAAGGAUGACAUACAAAUUUGUGAAGCGUUCCAUAUUUUU